GUCCUUAGAAAAUGGUCUUAAGCUACCUACUUUUGGGACUAACUAAAUGUCUGAGAGAUUCUUCAGAACAAAGAUGACUGAGAUAUUUUCUGAUUGCUUGAGGUGAUUUUUCUUGAGCAGAAGAUAUUUCUUUAAAAGUUCUUUUAUAACUAUGUAUUUGUAAUCUAAUCAUAUUCCAAGCCUACUACAAAAUCUUACUAUUUAGAGAAACUCUCAAGCAAGUGUCCUAGGCAAAAGUCAUCUUAAUUAAUCACAACUCAGUUUAGUUCUUUUUAUAAUAUUUCCCCCAAAGCAGGAUAUUUCUGCUUUGUAUUUUACAUAAAAUUAGAUAUUUGAAAAUGCACAGAUAUAAUUGUUUUUCUUUUUUAUUUAUAGUUGUCUAUACAUUGCACUUGCCCUGUACUUAUCAAACCCGGAAUGAGUCUCUAAAACAUCUUUUUGAUCUAAUAGUGCAGACCCUGAAGUUUGAAACUGGACAGGAGCUCACUGUGUUCUGGAGAUCUAUAGAACAUACAGCAUCCUGAUUAUUCACCUUCGAGCAUCUCACAAGUUCAUCAGCUUUGCUGGAUUAAGGUGCAAAACCACUGAAAGACAACUGAAACAAUUCCUUCUAAAAUUGGAACAGAUUUAGUAUGUAAACAGAUCAUUACAUCUAUUCAGCUUGGUAUUGAAAUGCUCAAUAUUACUCAUCCUGCUUGAGAAGAUUCCUAUUUUGACAAAUCUACAUCUCAUCUAAAAGCAAGCAAAAUGGAAACUCUUAAAUAGGUUCUCUAGUGCUCUUGACAGUUGUUGGCACAAAUAUAGGUCCUCAUCAAUCACUCAUUUGCACCGUACAUCCAGCCCUGGUAAAAUAAAUUAGCUGGCUGUCAAGAAAGGAAAAACUAACUAACCGAAUAAAUAAAUAAUUCUUUUAAAACUGAAUUAUGCAGUAGUUUCAUUCCUGUCCCUAGCGUGGAAAGAAGAAGGUCUUUAAGAGAAAUGUGUAGAAGUAAAGAUACUCCGCUCCAUGGCGUUCAGAAUAUUUCUAAUAAAAGCGAGGAAUGGGAAAAGUGGCACGUUUGACCUGAAUCAUCACAGAAGAAUCCAUUUAUCCACAGCACGGUUAAGAGAUGGUGUGGCCCCUAUCUUGAUUCACCUUAAUCCAGCAAAGUUAAUAAUAGUAGAAUAAUAGUAUCUAUUUUACCAGGCAUACAAUGGACAGGGCUACCAGUUAGAUGAUGAUGGUCAGGAUUUAGGCUGUUAGCUUCCUUAUUGCAUGCUUCUCAAAAGCAAGUUGUUUUGGUAAUUUUUGUUCACAUCCAUAGUCCCUAACACAGAAGUGUGUGUGUGUGUGUGUGUGUGUGAUUUGCUUGUUCAUGUAGUUAAGACACUGCUGGCAGUUAUUACAUUUGUUUACAAAAGUCUCAUCAUAUCUGCCAAGGAUAAAUAAGUCAUUAACAAUAUUUUAAACUAAAUAACAUAUAUAAAAGCUCACUUUAAAUCACUCAAAUGUACAGUAAUAGAAACUAAGAUAAUCAAGAUAAUAGUAGAAAUACUUAAAAAAUAGAAAAGUACCUGGUCGAUGCAAUGGUACCAUGGGCAAUAAUGUAGCUCCGAAGCUCCCAUUGGAUUCAUAGUCCUUCAACUCUCUGACACUUCUGCCAUGUCCAGUAUUUCAUUUUUUAAAAACUCAAUCACAAGUAUCUUA
Molecule: long non-coding RNA, 1687 nt
Organism: Fukomys damarensis (Damara mole-rat)
Lineage: Eukaryota; Metazoa; Chordata; Mammalia; Rodentia; Bathyergidae
Source: Ensembl